RNAcentral lists this transfer RNA (74 nucleotides) under Pseudobacteriovorax antillogorgiicola. It matches the Rfam family "tRNA". Rfam says of the family: Transfer RNA (tRNA) molecules are approximately 80 nucleotides in length. Their secondary structure includes four short double-helical elements and three loops (D, anti-codon, and T loops). Lineage: Bacteria; Pseudomonadati; Bdellovibrionota; Oligoflexia; Oligoflexales; Pseudobacteriovoracaceae. The record is from Rfam by way of RNAcentral.
GGGGGUGUAGCUCAGGUGGUUAGAGCGCACGCCUGAUAAGCGUGAGGUCGAUGGUUCGAGUCCAUCCAUCCCCA